GACGUAGGUGGCGAACGUUAUCCGGAAUUAUUGGGCGUAAAGGGUGCGUAGGUGGUCUGACAAGUUAUCAGUGGCAAAUCGAGGCUCAACCUCGUGGAAACUGGUAAUACUGUUCGGCUUGAGUACAGGAGAGGUUAACGGAACUCUAUGUGGAGCGGUAAAAUGCACAGAUAUAUAGAAGAACAUCAAUAAAGGCGAAGGCAGUUAACUAUUCUGUUACUGACGCUGAGGCACGAAAGCGUGGGGAGCAAAACGG
RNAcentral lists this ribosomal RNA (256 nucleotides) under uncultured bacterium. Its description in RNAcentral is "partial 16S ribosomal RNA". It matches the Rfam family "Bacterial small subunit ribosomal RNA", at positions 524 to 776 of the family's 1533-position model. The record is from RNAcentral.